Molecule: non-coding RNA, 90 nt
Filed under: Collimonas fungivorans Ter331
Lineage: Bacteria; Pseudomonadati; Pseudomonadota; Betaproteobacteria; Burkholderiales; Oxalobacteraceae
Source: RNAcentral
CUCAAUGGACGGCAAUGGUAGGGAGCCUUCGGGCUGCCGGUUUUCCUUUUUGCACCGGUCUGCUAACCCCGCCAUCUGCCGUCCUCCCGU